AUAUUGCUCAAUGGGGGAAACCCUGAUGCAGCGACGCCGCGUGAGCGAAGAAGGCCUUCGGGUUGUAAAGCUCUUUCCUUAGGUAAGAAACGGACGGUACCUGAGGAGGAAGCCCCGCCCAACUACGUGCAAGCAGCCGCGGUAAUACGUAGGGGGCGAGCGUUAUCCGGAAUUAUUGGGCGUAAAGGGGGCGUAGGCGGCUUUUUAAGUCAGGUGUGAAAGGCUACGGCUUAACCGUAGUUAGCAUUUGAAACUAAAAGGCUUGAGUGCAGGGGGGGAGAGUGGAAUUCCUAGUGUAGCGGUGAAAUGCGUAGAUAUUAGGAGGAACACCAGUGGCGAAGGCGACUCUCUGGACUGCAACUGACGCUGAGGCACGAAAGCGUGGGGAGCGAAC
RNAcentral lists this ribosomal RNA (394 nucleotides) under uncultured bacterium. Its description in RNAcentral is "partial 16S ribosomal RNA". It matches the Rfam family "Bacterial small subunit ribosomal RNA", at positions 361 to 773 of the family's 1533-position model. The record is from RNAcentral.